RNAcentral lists this ribosomal RNA (518 nucleotides) under uncultured bacterium. RNAcentral describes it as "bacterial SSU rRNA". It matches the Rfam family "Bacterial small subunit ribosomal RNA", at positions 8 to 518 of the family's 1533-position model. The record is from RNAcentral.
AGAGUUUGAUUCUGGCUCAGGAUGAACGCUAGCUACAGGCUUAACACAUGCAAGUCGAGGGGCAGCAUUGGAGUAGCAAUACUCAGAUGGCGACCGGCGCACGGGUGAGUAACACGUAUCCAACCUGCCGCUUACUCGGGGAUAGCCUUUCGAAAGAAAGAUUAAUACCCGAUGGUAUAAAGAGUUCGCAUGUUCUCUUUAUUAAAGAAUUUCGGUAAGCGAUGGGGAUGCGUUCCAUUAGAUAGUUGGCGGGGUAACGGCCCACCAAGUCUACGAUGGAUAGGGGUUCUGAGAGGAAGGUCCCCCACAUUGGAACUGAGACACGGUCCAAACUCCUACGGGAGGCAGCAGUGAGGAAUAUUGGUCAAUGGACGAGAGUCUGAACCAGCCAAAGUAGCGUGAAGGAUGACUGCCCUAUGGGUUGUAAACUUCUUUUAUAAGGGAAUAAAGUGAGGGACGUGUCCCUUUUUGUAUGUACCUUAUGAAUAAGGAUCGGCUAACUCCGUGCCAGCCGCUGC